This 253-nucleotide ribosomal RNA is filed under the name uncultured bacterium. RNAcentral describes it as "partial 16S ribosomal RNA". It matches the Rfam family "Bacterial small subunit ribosomal RNA", at positions 524 to 776 of the family's 1533-position model. The record is from RNAcentral.
UACAGAGGUCCCAAGCGUUGUUCGGAAUUACUGGGCGUAAAGCGCGCGCAGGCGGCUAUCCAAGUCAGUGGUGAAAGCCCGGAGCUCAACUCCGGAACUGCCAUUGAAACUGUUUAGCUUGAGGAUGAGAGAGGUGAGUGGAAUUCCCAGUGUAGAGGUGAAAUUCGUAGAUAUUGGGAAGAACACCGGUGGCGAAGGCGGCUCACUGGCUCAUUACUGACGCUCAGGCGCGAUAGCGUGGGGAUCGAACAGG